UCCAUGUGCAGAAAGGAAACUGGACCCUCCCUCAGCCCAGACCCAAAGAUCAAUUCCAGAUGAAAACCUAAGGAGGAACUACAAAACAUCAACUUUCAGAAGAAAAACAGAGCCAAGUAUGUUAGUGACCUUGGAGUAUGGAGAGAUUUCUUAAGCAUAAACUGUAACGGAAAGAAUGUGAUAAAUCCCAUUAGAUUAAAAUCAAGAACUGGCCAUCAAAAGACACGACUGAAAAAACUGGAACACCACAAGCUUGGGAGGAAAAGUCUGCAAUACACACAACCAAAGUCUUUGUCAAGAUCCUGCGAGGUGGGUGACAUAACAUCAGUAACAGUGGCAUCAAUCAAAGAAUUUACAACAUGCCAAGUGCGUGACCUUCAGCAAUGUUGUCCUGCUCAUGAUUUAUAAACAUGAAGGCAGAGCCCACCAUGAUUAUGUGAUGGGCUGAAAAGGAUGGGACCAGGUCGGGACACGCGUGUUCCAACGUCCACUGGUUCUGUUUCCCCGUCUGUACCCGGCGCUGGAGUUCUCCUCUGGACCCCAAGCAGCCUGCUGUGACGCACUGAUGUCUCAAAAUCAACUAUCAAGUGCAUCACACAAGUAACAACAGUGAGGCCCAAAUAAUGAAGAUACUACAGAUGGAGAGAUGCCCCAAGAGUAUGGACACUGAAUGCACACUGAGAUGUGCUUAAGGGACCUUCCCAGAGAGGUCGAUCAGGGCUGACAGAUGAGAACACGCGCCGGUCUAUUCUGGUCUCAGAGCAUUGUUAACGACAAAGAAUGUUUUCAAGAAAGAGGCAGCUCAGCCAGUGUGCAAAGUGAUCUGGGAACUGAUUUCCUAACUCCGUAACAGCACAACGUGGUCCUGGCCUGGGGGUGGAGAAGCAGCAGGGAGGCCUGGGGGAAAGGACACAGGGCUGCAAUCACAGGAAAGAGGGGGAGGGAGGAGGGUGCAGGUCCUGACAGAGGACCUACUAUGCGCUGGACUGUGCCCAGAGCUUUACACACAUCGUGUCACUUAAGCUCCACAACAGCCCUGGGAGGGAGGCACUGUCACAACUCUCCUUUUACCACCUGGGACACCAGGCUCAGAGCGUAGACAUAACUUGGAAGGCACUUUUGGUUUCAGGCCACACACACAAAAUAGUGGGAAAUCUCUGCUUUUGGUACACGGGCAGAUACCACAACUAAU
This is a non-coding RNA of Vicugna pacos (alpaca), 1192 nucleotides long. The record is from RefSeq and is a predicted model, not a curated record. NCBI's taxonomy places the organism in Eukaryota, Metazoa, Chordata, Mammalia, Artiodactyla, Camelidae.